UUCCUGGAACAGAUCUUCUAUCAUGAUGGCUGUAAAGAUAAUGUAGGAUAGAUGUUACAAUAGGAAAGGCACGAAGCCCCUUUUAUCAAAAACUCUGUCUCUCCCUGACCACAUUAUCUAUAGAUGACCCUGAAAAGAAUUGUCCUCCUGCCCUCUGAAGUCCCAGGCCACUACCCACCCCCAACAUGUUCCUCGCCUUUAGCUGCAAUACUUAAGCAAGCAGCUUAGACAGAGGGGCGAGUUGCUCAUUUCUGAGUUUCUCCCAUGUAUACAUGUUAUUAAACUUGGUAUUAUUUUCUCCUGCUAACCUGUCUUGUUAAUUAUUUGGCCAGCCAUAAGAACCUUAAGGGAAAGGGCAGAGGGAGAUUCUCCCUCUUCCCCUGACAGUUUUGGCGUAGUCGCCAGGAGCCACACUGGCUGGCAAGUUGCCUUCUCCGGCUGGAAGACCUGCCUUCUCCCUGGACUACUGCAGAUGAUGAGAUACGGGAACGCCUGACGAAAGCCGGCAAAAAGGACACAAUUGGAAACACUGGUUAUAUUACCAAGGCUGUGACUGGAACAUCAUAUUUGCCAUAUAACCAUACAGCUUUUGAGGAAUGAAGAUUGGACUUUAUGGAAUAAAGCCACGUGGAAAUAUUGGCCUGGUAUCUUAUGUUCCAAGCAGCACUUAGCAGGAUAAGUAAAGAAUGUCACUUAUCUGGCAGGUACAAGGAACCUCGAAAUAUUUUGGGGGAACCUCGGAAGAGAGGAAUUCACCCAAAUCUGUAGGUAUUACAGGCGAAGUUUGAUGACAAAAAUCCUUGGCUUGGCUUUCCUGGCCUCAAGAGGCCUUUGAAGUUCAAUCUGAGAUUUCUUAUAAAAAGUUCCAGCAAAGCAGAUUUAAAAGAGCCUAUGUGAUCAAUUGUUAUUCUUGCUGUACUUAUGUAAAUAAUUGGGCCAACUCUAUUGGAACUAGACUUAUUUUGCAAACUAGUUUCAAUUUUGCUAUCUUAAUAAAAAUGAGGGUGAUUUUAGAGAGAAAAAAUUAUAUUUCAGUAAAAACUAUUUCAGUAUAAAUUUGCAGAUAUUAGAUCCUAGUUUUGUUAAUUGUCUUUUGAGGUUUUCGUUUUAUGUCUGUUGACUGGACUGGAUCCUGAUUUCUUCUAGUCUCCUGAAAUAUCUGGCUACAGAUGUCCAAACUAACAUUUUUGAUUUUUUCCAUCAUUUUCAUUUGGAAUCACUGAAAACUAAACCUGCCCUUUUUCCUGAAGCCUUACAAACUGAAGCUGAUGGACUUGAUAUAAACUUAAGAGAUGACCUGACGACACCAUCAGAGACAUUUUAAACUGCAGAAGAUACUUUGACGCUGACAUCUAAAAAUCUUCUUAACUGGCUGUCCUCUGACCUCAGAAACUGGUUUACAAUUUGCUCCAACCAUUAACCUUGUUUUUCUUUUGUUUACAUAGAAAUGCUUCUAUUAAAUACUUGAUUGCUUGCUUCCACAACAUAGGCGUAACCUUGAGAGCCCACCUGCAUCACCACCUUCCAAAAGGAACUUAAUUGAACUGAUCUAUUAUCAGGACUAAGAAAUGUGUUCAGUGAGAUGAAACAAUCUACCAACCCAGCUUCUGGACUAUGAAACUUCUUUAAGUUUCAAAAGGACUGUGAAACUUUUAGUUUCAAAGGCGGGACUGUGGGAGAUCAAGAUUUGGCCACCCUGAAAUAUAUCUCUUUACCUUGA
This is a long non-coding RNA of Diceros bicornis minor, 1720 nucleotides long. RefSeq lists it as uncharacterized. The record is from RefSeq and is a predicted model, not a curated record. NCBI's taxonomy places the organism in Eukaryota, Metazoa, Chordata, Mammalia, Perissodactyla, Rhinocerotidae. The transcript is spliced from 2 exons.